Molecule: ribosomal RNA, 253 nt
Filed under: uncultured bacterium
Lineage: Bacteria
Description: partial 16S ribosomal RNA
Rfam family: Bacterial small subunit ribosomal RNA
Source: RNAcentral
GACAGAGGUUGCAAACGUUGUUCGGAAUUACUGGGCAUAAAGCGCACGUAGGCGGUUCGUUAAGUCAUGUGUGAAAUCCCUCGGCUCAACCGAGGAAUUGCGCCUGAUACUGGCGGGCUAGAGAUCGAUAGGGGUGAGUGGAACUCCAGGUGGAGCGGUGAAAUGCGUAGAUAUCUGGAGGAACACCGGUGGCGAAAGCGGCUCACUGGAUCGAUACUGACGCUGAGGUGCGAAAGCGUGGGUAGCAAACAGG